GCUGAGAAGAUUGAUACCACUCUCACACCUGUACACUGGGUGUGAAGCUACAGCUAGCAGAGCUUAGCUUAGCAUACAGGCUGGAAACGGGAAGCAGCUAGUCUGGCUGUGUCUGAAGAUUGCGCCCAACAGAAAUAAGAGAGCUGAACAAAGAAAAGACAACAGAAAGAGACAAAGGGACCUGUCAUUACUAUCAAUGUGAUUCGAGAGCUCAGAUUCAGUCUACCCAGGAACCAGAGGAUGAGCCAAGACACAGAGGACGGGGAGACAGGUUCAUUUCCCGCCGAACGGUGAAUGAGGUCAUCAAAUGAGGAGCCCGGGGGCCAUCCGUCCUCCUGUGAGGUCACCUCAGUGUCUGCCGCAGCCUGGAAAUACAACACAUGUCCUGGCAGUGGAGAGGAGAGAGAAAGUGGGUAAGAGUGUGCCUUCCAACCCCAAAGGACUGGACUCCAUCAGCCACGCAGCGUCAGUGGUGGAACCACAAGCAUUGGUAACCACACUCACAAAUGCUUAUGUCAGAUGUUAUAAAGUGCCCAUGUGGGCCUUAUGAAGGACCCCUGUGUGCCAUCUCUAAUAAAGGGCCCUUUUAUCCCCA
Molecule: long non-coding RNA, 595 nt
Organism: Seriola aureovittata
Lineage: Eukaryota; Metazoa; Chordata; Actinopteri; Carangiformes; Carangidae
Exons: 4
Source: RefSeq, a predicted model, not a curated record